Molecule: long non-coding RNA, 220 nt
Filed under: Lathyrus oleraceus (garden pea)
Lineage: Eukaryota; Viridiplantae; Streptophyta; Magnoliopsida; Fabales; Fabaceae
Description: Pisum sativum (pea) long non-coding RNA (PSAT_LNC008917)
Source: RNAcentral
GAUUUAAACCCCUUUGAAAUGGAUAAACAUGUGUUAAAUGAUAUGAAUGCAAAUGAUGUGAUGAUGUGAAUGCAAUGCAAUGGCAUGUCAAUCAGGAUUGCUGUAUCUGCUUGAACAUCUGUCGGGUUACACUGUCUGAAGAGAAAACCACUGAGGAAUAUAAUACAAGAUCAAAGCUCUGCUCCAGAAAACCGGGUUGGUUGGAGGUUAAGGUUUCCUG